GAUGAACGCUGGCGGCGUGCCUAAUACAUGCGAGUCGAGCGAACAGACGAGGAGCUUGCUCCUCUGACGUUAGCGGCGGACGGGUGAGUAACACGUGGAUAACCUACCUAUAAGACUGGGAUAACUUCGGGAAACCGGAGCUAAUACCGGAUAAUAUAUUGAACCGCAUGGUUCAAUAGUGAAAGACGGUUUUGCUGUCACUUAUAGAUGGAUCCGCGCCGCAUUAGCUAGUUGGUAAGGUAACGGCUUACCAAGGCAACGAUGCGUAGCCGACCUGAGAGGGGGAUCGCCCCCCCUGAACUGGGAACCCGUCCCGGCCCCCUACGGAGGGCAGCGUUAGGAAAUCUUCCGCAAUGGGCGAAACCCUGACGGGGCAACGCCGCGGAGGUGACAAAGUCUUCGGAUCGUAAAACUCUGUUAUUAGGGAAGAACAAAUGUGUAAGUAACUAUGCACGUCUUGACGGUACCUAAUCAGAAAGCCACGGCUAACUACGUG
RNAcentral lists this ribosomal RNA (496 nucleotides) under uncultured bacterium. RNAcentral describes it as "partial 16S ribosomal RNA". It matches the Rfam family "Bacterial small subunit ribosomal RNA", at positions 28 to 507 of the family's 1533-position model. The record is from RNAcentral.